GACGAACGCUGGCGGCGUGCUUAACACAUGCAAGUCGAACGGAAAGGCCCUGCUUUUGUGGGGUGCUCGAGUGGCGAACGGGUGAGUAACACGUGAGUAACCUGCCCUUGACUUUGGGAUAACUUCAGGAAACUGGGGCUAAUACCGGAUAGGAGCUCCUGCUGCAUGGUGGGGGUUGGAAAGUUUCGGCGGUUGGGGAUGGACUCGCGGCUUAUCAGCUUGUUGGUGGGGUAGUGGCUUACCAAGGCUUUGACGGGUAGCCGGCCUGAGAGGGUGACCGGCCACAUUGGGACUGCGAUACGGCCCAGACUCCUACGGGAGGCAGCAGUGGGGAAUAUUGCACAAUGGGCGGACGCCUGAUGCAGCAACGCCGCGUGCGUGAUGACGGCCUUCGGGUUGUAAACCGCUUUCGCCUGUGACGAAGCGUGAGUGACGGUAAUGGGUAAAGAAGCACCGGCUAACUACGUG
This 468-nucleotide ribosomal RNA is filed under the name uncultured bacterium. Its description in RNAcentral is "partial 16S ribosomal RNA". It matches the Rfam family "Bacterial small subunit ribosomal RNA", at positions 28 to 507 of the family's 1533-position model. The record is from RNAcentral.